Caenorhabditis elegans is the source of this 21-nucleotide non-coding RNA. The record is from Ensembl. NCBI's taxonomy places the organism in Eukaryota, Metazoa, Nematoda, Chromadorea, Rhabditida, Rhabditidae.
UAGUCACGUAAAUUGAUAGUC